Molecule: RNA transcript, 4037 nt
Organism: Oncorhynchus masou masou (cherry salmon)
Lineage: Eukaryota; Metazoa; Chordata; Actinopteri; Salmoniformes; Salmonidae
Gene name: cytosolic arginine sensor for mTORC1 subunit 1-like
Exons: 11
Source: RefSeq, a predicted model, not a curated record
CUUUUAUUUGAAUAUACAGUAGUGGAGUCAGAUUGCGUCUGAUGUUUUUCUCUUUAUCUGUGACUGACUAAUGCAAGACAUACAGUUAAAUAACUAAGCAGCAAUGCGUCUAGUCCUCAGGAAUGAAAAUAACACACUCAAAACGUUAAUUUAGGAACCUUUUAUUGGAUCGUUCCUGUAAAUAGUCAAGCAUUCAUUCAAACCAACUAGGGGAUUGCGCUAUUCAGAACCAUGGAUUUGCACAUUCUGGAUCACAGACUGCGAGUGACCAGCAUUUGCAAAAAUGGUCUGGUCAAUUUCACUCACCCCCUCAUCAAACUCAUUUUCCUGCGGAACAGAGCAAGAUGCAAGUUCUUCAGUCUGACAGAGACCCCAGAGAACUACACUGUUGUCCUGGAUGAAGAGGGAUUUAAAGAGCUGCAGCCCUCAGAGCAUCUACUGGUCGAAAGUUCCGUGUGGCUGCCACUCAACGUGGUCUCCAAUGGCAACUCCUCCAGCAGCUCGCAGGCGGUGGGCGUGACCAAAAUCGCUAAGUCUGUCAUCGCCCCAUUGGCCCAGCAGCACGUGUCAGUCUUCAUGCUCUCGACCUAUCAGACAGACUUCAUCCUGGUGAGGGAGAAGGACCUGGCUGUCGUUAUUAACACUCUGGGGGAAGAGUUCAACAUCUACAGAGAGGUGGGGGGAGAGUACUCUGCUGUUCUCAGCCAAGAUGUCCACAAUGGCUUCCAGAAGAACGGCAAAGAAGCCCCCCAGCUGACAGUGCACCCUUUGCUGAUACCUCAGAACCAGUUCUGUGUGAUGAGUCUGGACCCAGACACUCUGCCUGCCAUCGCAACAACACUCAUCGACGUUCUCUUCUACUCCAACAGUCCUAAAGAGGGCGCUCUUCCCAGCCAGGACCUGGACUGUAUCAAGUUCUUUUCCUUCUCUCUGAUCGAUGGCUACGUCUCUCUGGUCAUGGACACAGAGGCACAAAGACAGUUCCCUGCUGAUCUUCUCUUCACAAGUUCCUCCAGGGAGCUGUGGAGGAUGGUGCGCAUUGGGGGACAGCCUCUGGGUUUCGACGAGUGUGGCAUUGUUGCCCAGAUAUCCCAGCCCUUGGCCGAUAACGACAUCUCAGCCUAUUAUAUCAGCACCUUCAGCUUCGACCAUGCCCUGGUACCUGAAGAGGACAUAGUGAGUGUGACUGAGAUGCUCCGGCAGCACAGGAAAGAGCCAGCCUGCUGAUGGCGACCUGGCGGCUUGGUCCAUACUACACCCCUCUCCGUGUCCUGGGGCAGUACAGGUCUGAAGAGAGAUGCGAACUACGUGCCUAGACUAGCACUGCAGCGUGAGCAGUAUUAACCAUGAACUUUGUUGCCAUCAUGACCACCAAAAGCGCUUCAAGGAAGGGGUGUCUGAAGAGAGCCUCUUGUCUUCCCAGAAUUCCUUGGGAAACGCAUUGUUUGGACGCUGCCAGGACCCCUGACCAAUGGGACAAGGGGAUUGGUGAACUGAAGUACUGUUGUGAUGAUGGUAACACUGUACUUAAGGCCUGCAGUGAUCAUGUUGGAGACAGCACGUGCAGCACCCCACUCUGGAAAUGUGGACAAGUAUCAGAAGGCUUUAGAACAAACCAUAAAGCUUUCCAAACUGUCGGAUCAUGAAGCUGGCGUCCUCCUGACGAGUUACAUGAAAACAAAUUGCUUCCUGAACGACCAGAAGGCCCUCAGCAUGGAUGGUGUUCCCUCAGCAACCAUCGCUGGCUCCACCCCUAAGGAGAAGCUUCGGAACAUCUCCAACAAAGCCAUGAUCUUCCACUGGCACAUCGACAUGGUAACCAAAUACAUGACUAACAUGUUGGAGGACUCAGAUAAUGACACUCAGAUUCUUCUGGGUCUCCUGAGCAAUUCCGGGGACCGUCUCGAGAAUCUAUCUGGCUGCGUAGAGGUGCUCCUGCAGAUUCAGGACCCAAACACACCUUCUACUACGUCCACUAAGCCCCAAGACGUGCUCUGUGAGGACUAUGAGAAAAAGCUCUAUGGCUGGGCUGUGCUAAAUGGGCACAAGGAAUUUCUGGCCAUGGUGUUACAGGAAGUUGCUGGCUUUAAGAAUAAUACUGUGUGAGGAUUAUACAAAGUGGUUGUUUGUCACCCAAGGGUGAUUUUAGGAUAUUUAUUCCAAAAUAAUCAGGUAUUUCAUGUAACUGAACAAUCGGGACAAAGGCCAACUGCCAAUAAUAUAAAUGUGAAAGAGAAGAGUUUGAUUGCUGCACAGUAUAUAUUUUAUAUCUAUUUUUUUUAAUUAUUAUUAUUUUUGAAACAGUCCAGAACACGGUCCUGAAACAGUCUUGAAUCAAAUUCAUUGGUUUGCUCUUACAGUUAUCACAUGUUGUAUUCAUAUUUAAGCUACUCAGUUCACUCUCUUUAAGAUAUUUUGUCCCUACUGCUCCUUGUCUAUGGCGCCUCAAUUAUUCCCUUAUGCCCCACAUGGCAGAUACAUUGAGGUCAAUGAGGUAGUGGACGGUAAACUCAAGUAAACGCAGAUUAGGGUUAGGGAUCUAAUUACCCACGAAGCUCAGGGAUUUUGCUCAUCAUUUUGUUUAUGACAACAUCCCUGGUUGAAGGUAGCCUGGUCGAACGAGUCAAAAUUGAAGGAGCAUCUCCGCCUGACUGAGCUGAUGCACAGGGGUGAUGGUGGUUGUGGUUAUAGAGUGAAGCAGAACCACGGGAAGUGGUACAGGCACUUCCCAGACAGUGAAAGGUUGUCCCAAAUGGCACUCUAUUCUCUAGUGAACUACUUUUGACCAGAGCCCAAGUAGUUCACUAAAUUGGGAAUAGGGUGCCAUUUGGGAUGCAGUCACUGGCUCCCUAAUCAGUCACAUCUCAUGACUUCCUCCCUGCAUCCUCACACAAAACAGAUCGCAGGCUGACGUCUGUCAGUUUCAUUCUGAUGCUGGAUACUAAAGCGUUGCCUAUGCCAUAGAUGGUCAUUGUAUACUACAAAUGUAUGCAUUUGUGUACUGUAGGUUGUUUUUUAGGUUGCUUAAUGGCCUAUUUAACCGUACACUAUAUGGGUUUGUGUUUAAACUUGACACUUUUGGUCUCUUAGCUACGUGGUCGCCUUUUUAUAAACUGGACAUUUGUGUUCAAUUUGUCAUGCGAUUGAUAUGAACACCUCAAAAAGAAGAAUCAAAUAGGUGAUGUUCCCUUCAAGAACUGGAGCUGUAGGUAGUAAACACUGUAAAUGUUAUUCAUAUUUAAUAUAAAAACAAUAUGAAUAUAGUAAUGAAUGACUACUUUUACUGUAUUUGUUUUGCCAUACAUAUUAAAAGCUCGGAGUAGCCAAAAUUCAAAGUUUUGUUUUUCCUUUGUUUUGUAUGAAAUGUGUACAACAGCUGAUGAAACGAACACUGUACAUGUGAAACGUGAUCAGUGUCAUUUCCCCAAUAGUUGAUGGUUGAAAAUCAACACAGAACCUUAAAUUCAGCUGGUUCUGCUUGGCUGGAGCUGUGGAUUGCUUCAGGACAUCACCAGGCAAAAAUAAUAAAGACUCUAACAAACGUCUAUGCCAAUAUCUGCUAGCUUUCAAGUUACAUAUUCCUACCAUUCAGCUUCCCUGCUUCACUUCUAUGGUAAUGCACUGCUCAGGUCCUCUUCCCCGCUCCAAUUCUGUUCUCACCCUGAUCUGUUUCACCUGUCUUUGUGAUUGUCUCCACCCCUCUCCAGGUGUCGCCCAUCUUCCCUAUGAUGCCCUGUGUAUUUAUACCUGUGUUCUCUGUUUGUCUAUUGCCAGUUGGUUUUGUUUGUAAAACCUACCAGUGUUUGUUUACCUGCUCCUGCCUGGUUUCCAGCUCCUGUUUUCUAGUCCCUCCAGGUUUUGACCAUUCUGCCUGCCCUGACCCUGAGACAGCCUGCUGUUUUGUACCUUACCCCACCGUUCUGGUUUACUGACACCUGCCUUCCCUGACCUUGAGACUGCCUGCCCUUCUGGACCCUUUACACCCUUUCUGGAUUACUGACCCCUGCCUGUCUUGACCUGUUGUUUGCCUGCCCCUG